Long non-coding RNA from Papilio xuthus (Asian swallowtail), 807 nucleotides. RefSeq lists it as uncharacterized. The record is from RefSeq and is a predicted model, not a curated record. The transcript has 3 exons. NCBI's taxonomy places the organism in Eukaryota, Metazoa, Arthropoda, Insecta, Lepidoptera, Papilionidae.
UCGAGCGUGCGGAAAUCGGUAAUACUGUUAAUGUUAGCACUUUACUUUAGUGUAAUUGUACGUGGUGAAAACGUUAGUACUGCAGCACCGGCACCACAUCCUUUAUCUUCUAUCGAUGUUAGACCUUCAGGAGCUAUUGCAAGUUUUCUUAAAAUGCUCGUUGACAUACCGUUGGCUUUAGUGGAAGCAUUUAGAGAUGGUGCUGAAGGAAUUGAAAAAAUUGUACUCGGCUCGCUUAGAACAUUUUUUUAAGCAACAGACACAUAACCAGUGAAGGACAAGAAAAAUUGUACAGGCUUACAGUGGAAAUGAACCCUCAUUUCCACUGUAAGCCUGUAAAAGUGAUGUAAAUCCAACAAUAUUGUGAACGCCUACCCACCUUGUAAUUUGCUUAUACAGAUGAACUUUAUUCACACUGUUUAAAUUAAAAGCUUCUGAAGAUUGUUUGUAGUAUAAGUUGGUAAUAAACAGUUUAAGGCUUUAUUUUUAUGUAAUAACGUGUUUGAAUUUUGAAACACAAAAAUUAGUGCAUAUAUUUAGGGUCAAAUGAUGCGAUAGCUUAUCACAAUAUUUUUGCAAUUCUAUUGAGAUUUAAACUUAACGCUUUUUUUUAUUUCACUGCCAUCUUUUAAGAAAGAAUCGCACUAACGCCUUAUUUCUCACCAAACAGCGCCACCUAUUGAUGUAAUGUAAACAAAUGUAAUUUAAGUUGCAAAGUUACGUUGAUAGAUGGCGUCUUAAACUCAACUUACUAUUAAAAACCUCGUAAAGGAACACGCACACUGGCCCGCGCCGGAUGCACUGUAC